Molecule: ribosomal RNA, 488 nt
Filed under: uncultured bacterium
Lineage: Bacteria
Description: partial 16S ribosomal RNA
Rfam family: Bacterial small subunit ribosomal RNA
Source: RNAcentral
AUUGAACGCUGGCGGCAUGCUUUACACAUGCAAGUCGAGCGGCAGCACAGGGAGCUUGCUCCUGGGUGGCGAGUGGCGAACGGGUGAGUAAUGUAUCGGAACGUGCCUGGUAGUGGGGGAUAACUACUCGAAAGAGUGGCUAAUACCGCAUGAGAUCUUUGGAUGACAGCGGGGGACCUUCGGGCCUCGUGCUACUGGAGCGGCCGAUAUCAGAUUAGGUUGUUGGUGGGGUAAAGGCCUACCAAGCCUGCGAUCUGUAGCUGGUCUGAGAGGACGACCAGCCACACUGGGACUGAGACACGGCCCAGACUCCUACGGGAGGCAGCAGUGGGGAAUUUUGGACAAUGGGCGCAAGCCUGAUCCAGCAAUGCCGCGUGCAGGACGAAGGCCUUCGGGUUGUAAACUGCUUUUGUACAGAACGAAAAGUCUCUGGCUAAUAUCUAGAGAUCAUGACGGUACUGUAAGAAUAAGCACCGGCUAACUACGUG